Manihot esculenta (cassava) is the source of this 576-nucleotide long non-coding RNA. RefSeq lists it as uncharacterized. The record is from RefSeq and is a predicted model, not a curated record. NCBI's taxonomy places the organism in Eukaryota, Viridiplantae, Streptophyta, Magnoliopsida, Malpighiales, Euphorbiaceae. The transcript is spliced from 2 exons.
AGGAGUUGCUGUACUAGUAGCCAGAGAGGUCUAUAAAUUGGAAGAAUCAUCAAUACUCAUCCGCAUCCUUUAGCUCUUCUUUCUUCCUAAUUAAGCAUAGAUAUAAAAUGGGUGCUUCAAAGAAGUUGCAGGUCAUGGCUAUGGUGGUUUUCAUAACAAUCAGUCUGCUUCUUCCAAACCAUGUCGCUUCAUCAACUGCACUUGCCACUGAUGCUAUCCCAAAAUCCAUUUUUGGAAGGAAGCUUCUUGUUGAUCCACCUACAUAUGGACGCUGGCCUGGAACAGGAGGAUAUCCAUGCUGCACAAGACCCUCACCUCCCUAGUGAGGCUGUUGCUUCACUCUUUACUUCCAUCAACUAUGAGUGCAUGUUUUAGAUCUAUAAUAUAUGAGAGAAAAAAGGGUUUAUCUGAAAAAUAAUUUUUUUUCAAAAAAAAAAAACAAACCCUUUAAUCUCUUUUACUAAUAAGAUUGUACACUUAAUUAUAACUUGGGUGUAUUCUAUUUGAUUAUUAUAUGUAUGUGUACUGAACUUGUCUUUUGGUAGUACCUAAAGAAAAUAAAAUGCAAUUCUAAUA